Molecule: RNA transcript, 1022 nt
Organism: Eucalyptus grandis
Lineage: Eukaryota; Viridiplantae; Streptophyta; Magnoliopsida; Myrtales; Myrtaceae
Exons: 5
Source: RefSeq, a predicted model, not a curated record
AACGAGCGAAGAUUGAACUAAAAACGUCGUGAGAAAUCGCCACAGCGAACGAGAGUUGUGCAGAGUUAAGCUCGGUCGAACAGUGGUUCAGUUUUCCUCUAUUUUUUGGCACCCUAUAGUCGCUUCUGGAUUCAGUUGUGGUGCGAGCGUGACUCGCUAGCCAUUCCUGAUCGGUCCUUCGAUUAACGCUUUUCUCUGUAUAGAUUUCUGAGCGGCUUGGGACUUGGAGAUGGGAGUGGCACCGAUGAGUUAUGACAUGGAAGAGGGGAUGCUGGAGAUCGGCAUGGAGCAUAGGAUUGUCUAUGGUGUUGUUGGGCCGUUGGUUAUACUCGACAAAGUCAAGGGACCAAAGUAUCAAGAGAUUGUAAAUAUCCGCUCGGGAGAUGGAACAACUUGACGUGGGCAUGUCCUUAAAGUUGAUGGAGAGAAAGCUGCUGUGUAGGUACAGGGAGGACCAAACAGUUAGCAGAUUAAGCCAUCCUGAGCUGGUUUUCUUAGGUCCAAUGCGCCCAAGGGCUCUCACUACUCUUGAAUGGGCCGGCAAAUAUUCUGACGGAGCAUUCUUUUUCAAGGUGGUGAUGAGGCCAUCUCAUGUUAAGUAUGGCUUGGGAAUACCAAAGAGGUUCAAGAAAAUGCUUUUGAGAGAAUGGUGCAAUUAUUUGGCUUGUGGAAUUGGAAAAAUGUGAUGAGAUGAUUUGGCUAGCAAAGGGUUGGAAUGAAUUAGCGGAGCAUCACUCUAUCUGUGAGGGUCAAUUUUUGAUCUUCUAAUCUGAAGGGGACUCCAUUUUCCAUGUCACCAUAAUUGAUGAAAGGAUGUCCAAGAUAGAAUAUCCGCCAAUCAAUGUCGAUGUGAGGUACUGAGCCUCAGCAAUUGUAGAAUUGCCUUGCUGAAAGUGGAAGGUGCUUUUGAUUGCCGUGAUGUUUCAGUCGAGCUUGUAGUCUGGGGGGAUGAAUUGCAUUCAGCCAAGUGCCCUCGGUUUUGUAUGGAAAAGGAAUUUAAUCAGGUUUGCAAAGUUCAUGGC